This is a non-coding RNA of Dicentrarchus labrax (European seabass), 434 nucleotides long. NCBI's taxonomy places the organism in Eukaryota, Metazoa, Chordata, Actinopteri, Moronidae. The record is from the annotation of a RefSeq genome assembly.
GCCAGUGUUGAUCAGUGGCUGUCCAGGCCUUUCAGAGCCACUGACACGCCGGCAGCACAAUGAGGAUGUCACUGACUCUACUGCUGGCCACCCUGGGGCUCCUUGUUCAGGAUUCAUCAGGAGAAAUCAUCCUGACUCAGUCUCCUAAAGCUCAGUCUGUUGUUCCAGGACAGACUGUCUCUAUCAGAUGUAAAGCCAGUUCAGGUGUUACCAAUGAUUUGCAGUGGUACCUUCAGAAACCUGGAGAAGCUCCUAAACUCCUCAUUUAUAAUGCUCAGUCCCGUCAGUCUGGAGUUUCAGAGCGUUUCAGUGGGAGUCAGUCUGGAACUGACUUCACUUUGACCAUCAGUGGAGUUCAGACUGAAGAUGCAGGAGUUUAUUACUGUCAGCAGGAUUACAGCAGACCGUUCACACAGUGAAAAAGUGUCAUACAA